UACGUAGGGUGCGAGCGUUAAUCGGAAUUACUGGGCGUAAAGCGUGCGCAGGCGGUCUGUUAAGACCGAUGUGAAAAUCCCCCGGGCUUAACCUGGGGAACUGCAUUGGUGACUGGCAGGCUUUGAGUGUGGCAGAGGGAGGUAGAAUUCCACGUGUAGCAGUGAAAUGCGUAGAGAUGUGGAGGAAUACCGAUGGCGAAGGCAGCCUCCUGGGCCAACACUGACGCUCAUGCACGAAAGCGUGGGGAGCAAACAGG
This 257-nucleotide ribosomal RNA is filed under the name uncultured bacterium. RNAcentral's name for it is "partial 16S ribosomal RNA". It matches the Rfam family "Bacterial small subunit ribosomal RNA", at positions 524 to 776 of the family's 1533-position model. The record is from RNAcentral.